This 23-nucleotide small nuclear RNA is filed under the name Arabidopsis thaliana (thale cress). Its description in RNAcentral is "snRNA_11024". The record is from RNAcentral. Lineage: Eukaryota; Viridiplantae; Streptophyta; Magnoliopsida; Brassicales; Brassicaceae.
CAGUGGAAUUAGCUUCCUAUCGA